This 468-nucleotide ribosomal RNA is filed under the name uncultured bacterium. Its description in RNAcentral is "partial 16S ribosomal RNA". It matches the Rfam family "Bacterial small subunit ribosomal RNA", at positions 28 to 507 of the family's 1533-position model. The record is from RNAcentral.
GACGAACGCUGGCGGCGUGCUUAACACAUGCAAGUCGAACGGAAAGGCCCUGCUUUUGUGGGGUGCUCGAGUGGCGAACGGGUGAGUAACACGUGAGUAACCUGCCCUUGACUGUGGGAUAACUUCAGGAAACUGGGGCUAAUACCGGAUAGGAGCUCCUGCUGCAUGGUGGGGGUGGGAAAGUUUCGGCGGUUGGGGAUGGACUCGCGGCUUAUCAGCUUGUUGGUGGGGUAGUGGAUUAGCAAGGCCUGGACGGGUGGCCGGCCUGGGAGGGGGACCGGCCACAUUGGGCCUGAGAUGCGGCACAGCCUCCUCCGGGAGGCAGCAGUGGGGAAUAUUGCACUAUGGGCGGAAGCCUGAUGCAGCCCCGCCGCGUGCGGGAUGACGGCCUUCGGGUUGUAAACCGCUUUCGCCUGUCACGAAGCGUGAGUGACGGUACUGGGUAAAGAAGCUCCGGCUAACUCCGUG